This 483-nucleotide ribosomal RNA is filed under the name Chloroflexota bacterium. RNAcentral describes it as "bacterial SSU rRNA". It matches the Rfam family "Bacterial small subunit ribosomal RNA", at positions 1 to 495 of the family's 1533-position model. The record is from RNAcentral. Lineage: Bacteria; Bacillati; Chloroflexota.
UUACGGAGAGUUUGAUCCUGGCUCAGGAUGAACGCUGGCGGCGUGCCUAAUACAUGCAAGUCGAACGAGGCCCUCUGUACUUGUACGGAGGUGUCCUAGUGGCGAACGGGUGAGUAACACGUAGGCGACCUGCCCCGAAGCGGGGGAUAACCUCUGGAAACGGAGGCUAAUACCCCAUACGCUCCAUGGUGUUAGAGGACCACGGAGGAAAGGAGCAAUCCGCUUUGGGAGGGGCCUGCGGCCCAUCAGCUAGUUGGUAGGGUAAUGGCCUACCAAGGCUACGACGGGUAGGGGGCCUGAGAGGGUGGUCCCCCACACUGGCACUGAAACACGGGCCAGACACCUACGGGUGGCAGCAGUAGGGAAUAUUGCCCAAUGGACGAAAGUCUGAGGCAGCAACGCCGCGUGCGCGAUGAAGGCCUUCGGGUUGUAAAGCGCUUUUCUGGGGGAAGAGGAAGGACGGUACCCCAGGAAUAAGUCUCG